RNAcentral lists this ribosomal RNA (253 nucleotides) under uncultured bacterium. RNAcentral's name for it is "partial 16S ribosomal RNA". It matches the Rfam family "Bacterial small subunit ribosomal RNA", at positions 524 to 776 of the family's 1533-position model. The record is from RNAcentral.
UACGUAGGGUGCAAGCGUUAAUCGGAAUUACUGGGCGUAAAGCGUGCGCAGGCGGUUAUGUAAGACAGGUGUGAAAUCCCCGGGCUUAACCUGGGAACUGCAUUUGUGACUGCAUAGCUAGAGUACGGUAGAGGGGGAUGGAAUUCCGCGUGUAGCAGUGAAAUGCGUAGAUAUGCGGAGGAACACCGAUGGCGAAGGCAAUCCCCUGGACCUGUACUGACGCUCAGGUGCGAAAGCGUGGGGAGCAAACAGG